Molecule: transfer RNA, 71 nt
Filed under: Cyphellophora attinorum
Lineage: Eukaryota; Fungi; Ascomycota; Eurotiomycetes; Chaetothyriales; Cyphellophoraceae
Description: Phialophora attae tRNA
Rfam family: tRNA
About the family: Transfer RNA (tRNA) molecules are approximately 80 nucleotides in length. Their secondary structure includes four short double-helical elements and three loops (D, anti-codon, and T loops). Further hydrogen bonds mediate the characteristic L-shaped molecular structure. tRNAs have two regions of fundamental functional importance: the anti-codon, which is responsible for specific mRNA codon recognition, and the 3' end, to which the tRNAs corresponding amino acid is attached (by aminoacyl-tRNA synthetases). tRNAs cope with the degeneracy of the genetic code in two manners: having more than one tRNA (with a specific anti-codon) for a particular amino acid; and 'wobble' base-pairing, i.e. permitting non-standard base-pairing at the 3rd anti-codon position.
Source: Rfam by way of RNAcentral
AUGACCAUAGGUUAACGGUAGACUCCCCGUCUUCCAAACGGAUUGUGCCGAUUCGAAUUCGGCUGGUCAUA